RNAcentral lists this ribosomal RNA (1539 nucleotides) under Salmonella enterica subsp. enterica serovar Paratyphi B str. SARA62. Its description in RNAcentral is "bacterial SSU rRNA". It matches the Rfam family "Bacterial small subunit ribosomal RNA". The record is from RNAcentral. Lineage: Bacteria; Pseudomonadati; Pseudomonadota; Gammaproteobacteria; Enterobacterales; Enterobacteriaceae.
AAAUUGAAGAGUUUGAUCAUGGCUCAGAUUGAACGCUGGCGGCAGGCCUAACACAUGCAAGUCGAACGGUAACAGGAAGCAGCUUGCUGCUUCGCUGACGAGUGGCGGACGGGUGAGUAAUGUCUGGGAAACUGCCUGAUGGAGGGGGAUAACUACUGGAAACGGUGGCUAAUACCGCAUAACGUCGCAAGACCAAAGAGGGGGACCUUCGGGCCUCUUGCCAUCAGAUGUGCCCAGAUGGGAUUAGCUUGUUGGUGAGGUAACGGCUCACCAAGGCGACGAUCCCUAGCUGGUCUGAGAGGAUGACCAGCCACACUGGAACUGAGACACGGUCCAGACUCCUACGGGAGGCAGCAGUGGGGAAUAUUGCACAAUGGGCGCAAGCCUGAUGCAGCCAUGCCGCGUGUAUGAAGAAGGCCUUCGGGUUGUAAAGUACUUUCAGCGGGGAGGAAGGUGUUGUGGUUAAUAACCGCAGCAAUUGACGUUACCCGCAGAAGAAGCACCGGCUAACUCCGUGCCAGCAGCCGCGGUAAUACGGAGGGUGCAAGCGUUAAUCGGAAUUACUGGGCGUAAAGCGCACGCAGGCGGUCUGUCAAGUCGGAUGUGAAAUCCCCGGGCUCAACCUGGGAACUGCAUUCGAAACUGGCAGGCUUGAGUCUUGUAGAGGGGGGUAGAAUUCCAGGUGUAGCGGUGAAAUGCGUAGAGAUCUGGAGGAAUACCGGUGGCGAAGGCGGCCCCCUGGACAAAGACUGACGCUCAGGUGCGAAAGCGUGGGGAGCAAACAGGAUUAGAUACCCUGGUAGUCCACGCCGUAAACGAUGUCUACUUGGAGGUUGUGCCCUUGAGGCGUGGCUUCCGGAGCUAACGCGUUAAGUAGACCGCCUGGGGAGUACGGCCGCAAGGUUAAAACUCAAAUGAAUUGACGGGGGCCCGCACAAGCGGUGGAGCAUGUGGUUUAAUUCGAUGCAACGCGAAGAACCUUACCUGGUCUUGACAUCCACAGAACUUUCCAGAGAUGGAUUGGUGCCUUCGGGAACUGUGAGACAGGUGCUGCAUGGCUGUCGUCAGCUCGUGUUGUGAAAUGUUGGGUUAAGUCCCGCAACGAGCGCAACCCUUAUCCUUUGUUGCCAGCGGUUAGGCCGGGAACUCAAAGGAGACUGCCAGUGAUAAACUGGAGGAAGGUGGGGAUGACGUCAAGUCAUCAUGGCCCUUACGACCAGGGCUACACACGUGCUACAAUGGCGCAUACAAAGAGAAGCGACCUCGCGAGAGCAAGCGGACCUCAUAAAGUGCGUCGUAGUCCGGAUUGGAGUCUGCAACUCGACUCCAUGAAGUCGGAAUCGCUAGUAAUCGUGGAUCAGAAUGCCACGGUGAAUACGUUCCCGGGCCUUGUACACACCGCCCGUCACACCAUGGGAGUGGGUUGCAAAAGAAGUAGGUAGCUUAACCUUCGGGAGGGCGCUUACCACUUUGUGAUUCAUGACUGGGGUGAAGUCGUAACAAGGUAACCGUAGGGGAACCUGCGGUUGGAUCACCUCC